Long non-coding RNA from Asterias rubens (European starfish), 2307 nucleotides. RefSeq lists it as uncharacterized. The transcript has 6 exons. The record is from RefSeq and is a predicted model, not a curated record. Lineage: Eukaryota; Metazoa; Echinodermata; Asteroidea; Forcipulatida; Asteriidae.
AGAUGUCUGCUCUAUUUCGUGAUGUGUCAACCAAGUUUACACGUGAAAAAUGACGAUUUGAUGCACAAAUGGAGUCCCAACUGUGAGAUGGAUGCUUCUCUUGGCCGUGUGAAAUACCAGGACUUUUGAUGGCAAUCUCUAAGAAGUUGAAGAUUCAAGGUAACCCAUGAAGCUCCUAUCCAGGAAUACACCUCUUCCUUAAUCACAGGUUUUCAUUCUCCGCCUCGGGGCCCUUUAGAUGCCAUCAGCUACAAAGGACUACAAUAACAUUCUCUGGAUCCAUGCAUCAAGAAAAUCAUCUCAGUAUUGAGGCUGCUCAUCAGGCACCAACCAAGAGUUAUAAAACUCUAGAAUCUAACCCUUGAUCUUGACAUCCCAUCCCAGAGGAAGAUCAUGGUGUUCAUCACAAGAGAGUUACCAUUUUGGAGGGGAGAGGUUACCAGCACUUCACCCUAAACCAGCAAAUUCAGGAACUGGUGUAGAGAUAGGUCUUUAAAAAGAUCAUUUUCAAAUUAGGGAGGGGAGAGGUUACCAGCACUUCACCCUCAACCAGCAAAUUCAGCAACUGGUGUAGGUAGGUCAAUAACUUUGUAAACUUGAUUAAAGCUGAAAAUGACGAACAUGCAUAAUGAAGAGUCUUUUUUGUUGAACCAUUGUUCAAUGCUCAUAGAUGCACUUGUUUAUUAAAAAGCUGUGUAUAACUUGUGCAGGCCACCUUUAAAACUUGUUAACAUCAUUCAUAACUAUAACGUUUAUAAUAAUUUACAUCAGCUUUUAAUUCAUGGGUGUCAUUUGGACAUUGAGGGGAGAGGUUACCAGCACAUCACCCUCAGCCAAGAUCCUCAGCAUCUGGCUUGAUCUACAGUUUGAAAUCAAACUUUUGGGUUUUACAAUCUCUACAAAAGAAAAGUUCCCCCAAAUAAAACAUGUAUAGGGCAUUCAUGUCCUUUAAUGAUUCAGUUAAUUUAUGUUUAAGAGGGGAGAGGUUACCAGCACACGAUCUUUAGCAUCUGGCUUGACCUAGAGUUUAUAUCAAACUCUGGGUUAUACUGGCAAAGAUUUUUACAAAAAGUAUCCCAGAGAAUAGAACACAGAUAAACAUUCCCUUAAAAUGUAUCACAUUUCAAGUUUAAGAGGGGAGAGGUUGCCAGCACUUCACCCUCAGCCAAGAUCCUCAGCAUCUGGCUGCGCCUUGAGUUUGAAAUCAAACUCUGGGCUUCUACAAUGAUUUGUACCAAAAAUCGUUGCCCAAAGAAUGUUAGGAUAAAUAUUACCAUUCAUUCCCUUUCACCAUUUCAAAAUUUAUGUUUCAGAGGGGAGAGGUUUCCAGCACUUCACCCUCAGCCAAGAUCCUCAGCAUCUGGCUUGGCCUAGAGUUGUAUACAAACCUCUUGGUUUUCACAUUAGAAAAAAAACAAAACAUUUGUCCAAAGACGAUUAUAAGACAAAGACAAAUAUCCCCUUAAAUGUUUCUCAAUUGAAGUUUGAGAGGGGAGAGGUUACCAGCACAUCACCCUCAGCCAAGAUCCUCAGCAUCUGGCUUAGACUAAAUAAUAUCAAACCCUGGGUACAUGCAAGUAUUUAAAACAAAAAAUGUUUCCCAAAAGAAUAAAUCAAAGAUGAACAUUCCCUUAGGCCCUAAAUGUUUCAAAUUUCAAGUUUAAGAGGGGAGAGGUUGCCAGCACAUCACCCUCAGCCAAGAUCCUCAGCAUCUGGCUUAUAACAUUGAGUGUUUAUACACCCAGUAACAGUUUCAAACACUGGUACACAUUAUGUACAUAAUUCAACCAAAAUAACACCAUCUACAAAAGAACACCUUUCAUAAGCUACUUUUUAUGUUUCUGAUUUAAGAACUUGCAGAGCAGGGGCACAACUCCUAGCAUUUUAACUUUUAACUACCCUCAUACUAUAUACAUGUAGUAAGGUUUGUCGUAACACCAUGUAACGAUAACCUCUAAAUGAGUUGGGGUGGUUCUGAAAAGAGCCGUUGCUUUCAACUCGAUGUUUCGAUCAGUGUGCUCUCAACAUCUUUUGGAGAAAGCUGAACUCUGGUGCUGCAUGCUGCUGAGUACUGAUGAUGCGGAUUACCGUGGUGUUGCACAAAGGCGGGAAAUUGAGCUCGGUGAUGCAUGGGACAACUGGAUCCUACCCAGGAUCCUGGGAGUUGUGUGUGUGGAGUGUGUACUCACUGAUGAACUGUGUCAGUAGGAACCUGCACAGGGGUCAGUGAGGGUGUGGGGCCUAGGGGGACUGAGGGUAUAGACGACCCAAAUCAGCCUAAAUGGUGGGUAACAGGAGGAGACUAAA